Molecule: ribosomal RNA, 253 nt
Filed under: uncultured bacterium
Lineage: Bacteria
Description: partial 16S ribosomal RNA
Rfam family: Bacterial small subunit ribosomal RNA
Source: RNAcentral
UACGAAGGGGGCUAGCGUUGCUCGGAAUCACUGGGCGUAAAGCGCACGUAGGCGGAUCGCUAAGUCAGGGGUGAAAUCCUGGAGCUCAACUCCAGAACUGCCCUUGAUACUGGCGGCCUCGAGUCCGGGAGAGGUGAGUGGAACUGCGAGUGUAGAGGUGAAAUUCGUAGAUAUUCGCAAGAACACCAGUGGCGAAGGCGGCUCACUGGCCCGGUACUGACGCUGAGGUGCGAAAGCGUGGGGAGCAAACAGG